Gadus morhua (Atlantic cod) is the source of this 2623-nucleotide long non-coding RNA. RefSeq lists it as uncharacterized. The record is from RefSeq and is a predicted model, not a curated record. The transcript has 3 exons. Lineage: Eukaryota; Metazoa; Chordata; Actinopteri; Gadiformes; Gadidae.
GUCAGCAGGCAGAGAGUCGUCAGCAGGCAGAGAGUCGUCAGCAGGCAGAGGUCGGCAACGGGAGGGCAGAUGGGCAGCAGGGAACGGGUGAACAGACAGACCGACAGGGACUCGACGGCGAUCGGGAGGUCAGGCAGGCGAAGGGUCGAAAGCAGGAGAGGCAGGCUGGUGGAUCAGGAGUCGGGGGCAGAGGAGCAGACAGGCCGACAGGGGCUGGGCGGCAGGCGGGACAGUCAGACAGGCAGGGAUCAGAGAACAGGCAUGAUAGGCAGGGAUCAGAGAACGGGCAGGAUAGUCAGAGAUCAGAAAACAGGCAGGAUCGGAGGUGGGUCAGGAUUCGAGUCGCGGGAAAGCACUGUGAAACACAAGAGACAAUCUGGCAGGGAAUGUUUGGAAGGAGAGGACUGAUAUAGGGAGAGCACAGGUGAAGGUGGUUGACUUAAUUAGGAGAAAUCAGGUUGGAAGGCAGGUGAAUGGGAAAACCAGGGGCAGACCAUGACAGACACAGUAUCAUCUGUGGUUUUCAUUAUUGUUGAAUGAUUCUACUUCUAUGUAUUUUCAACAAAAUUGGACACAAUAUUUCAAGGAAAGAACCGUUCUCCUGUACCAACGCCAAUAUAAUCAUUUUAUGUUUUUGUCUUUUUCACAGGACAUACAGACGGAUGAAAUCCAGUCAAAGCGAAUCAGGGUUUGGUUCUCUAUCCUGGCUUUAUCCAAUAUGUCCAUGAAAACUGGCUGGGGAAAAAAGGAAGGUAUCCAUCCACUGGCUUUAUGGGUGUGGUGCUUGCAAUGCACAUUUGUGAUGAGGUCAGUGUAUUUGGAUUUGGCGCAGACAAGGAUGGAAACUGGAGACACUACUGGGAGGAGCUUCAAAACAAAAAUCUUGGAACUGGACCCCAUGGAGGAGGGCAAGAGUACAAACGUAUUCUGGAACUUGCAGAGAAGCAGAAACUGAACUUCUAUAAAGGGUUUUGAAUGUUUUCCGUCUCUCUGACACAAUGGUCGUGGUAGUAGUACAUCAGCACUUAAACAUUUACUGCCAACCUCACUUCUUUCUCCAUUUUGUAAGACUCUUCUAGUUAGGGUUGUGAUGAUUUGAGAUCAAACAUGGACACAUCUCUGUGGUUACAUUUUGUGGCUUAUUUUGUUGGUGUUUUGUUGUGACACUUGUUCAGCAGUUUGUCAAACUGUGGAGUGAGCUUGAGAUCUGGGGUCUCUUAUGGCCCUGACAAACCAUUCUUACUGCACAUCGGCGGCAGAGAAGGCAGACCAAUUUGGUCAUGGCCAAUUCAACAUGUGCAAUUGGCCGAAAAGAACCCAGACGGGCUUGAAAAGAUCACCGACGGCUUUUUUCGACAGCCGAUCGCAGAGCACACACCAAACAGACUCAGGCAACCGAGCUCGCCAGACUGCCAGAAGACCGAUAAUCCGGUUUAUGUGUCAGGGCUUUUAAUGAAAGAGGGCCUCAAGGAAAAUUUCAUGGCUUCAGAUCUACAAGAAUUGAUGCAAAAUUCUUUGAAAGGAUAGUGUAAACUCUACACUAUGCUUAGGGGGGCCUGGUAGAUCUCUUCUCUCUGCUCUCUGGACUCUCUCUUUUUUGGGCGCUGUCUUUUUCCUCCUCUAGCUGACGGAUACGUCUCUCUAGGAGGGCUCUACUUUAUAUGUUUUUAAAACAGGUUUUAAAGUAGUAGCUUGGAAGGAUAUUAAGCCUGUUGCUGCUGCCGUCUUGCUGUCAUUCCACCUCGUUAGGAAAGGGGUAUUCAAACAUGAAUUAUAUUUUUGUUGUGAAAUAAUAAAACCAUGACAAGGAAAGCGGUCAAUAAGUGUUAUUUCAAACACAAAAAUAGAAUAUUAAUAUCUUAAAAAACAGCAAGGAAGAACGGGGGUCAGUUUUCUUUUGUUUCUGUGAACAAAGACAAACAAAAGCUGAGCUACUCCGCAAAACACUUGUUUCUCCCGUUUCGCCAAAAGCAGGUGUAUUUGUUUUUCUAGCCUCACCUUGUGAUUCCUAAAAUAAGCUUCAAGCCAGGCUUGUUAAUCAAACAAUGCCCAUAUAUGGCAUCAACCAGUGAUGCCAUGAUGAUUUCUUUCCGUUCUCUUCAUGUUUAUCAAGCACAACUUGUUCUUCCACAUACUUGUGGCACACUGGCAAACAUUUCACCCAGUUUUCCCUAAUCCUUUUACCUCCCCUCCCUCAUCCAUCAGUGAACAACCAGUUUACCCAAUCCCUCUAACCUUCUCUAAAUUGCCCCUUCCCCUUAGUAGAUACCCUUGUCCAUUCCUUUCACAACACCCUCUAUCCAUUAGUUGGUCUCGACCUCAUCAGCUUUAUUAUAAAGUAAUGUCAUUCUUUGUGUGGGAUUGUGCACCUGGUACAGCAUGCAGACUUACACCAAGUUGAAGAGGGUGGGACAAAGCGCAGAAGGCAUCUGAUCCGAUCAAUCAUAAAAUCAGACUGGCGCUGGUGUGGAACACACACGCUGCUUUUGUUGUUGCAAUAAACCCAUUAUAUAUUUAAUUUUUUUGUUUAAUUUAUUGUAUGACGAUAUUUCUAUGUGUGAAGUGCCUUGAACCUACCUCGUGUAUGAAAAUAAUCCAAAAUAAAGUUGCCCUGCCUUCACUC